GGAUCAAGAGGCUUCUUGUUCUUCUUUCUGCUUUUCUGGGUCCUAUUACUUUCGGUGAGCUUUAAAGUUGGGAGUUGCAUAUAUUCCCAUUGAUGAAACAUUAGCUGUGGGUAAUGAAUAAAAAAGCUUGACUGGCUGCAAAUCUCCCUCCCCCUCUCAAGCAGCCAAGAACAGCAAUCUUGCAUAUUUGUUACUGCCGCCUGAACGCUUAAACCGAGGUGGAUUGGAAGUUGGCCUCCCUU
Molecule: unclassified non-coding RNA, 242 nt
Filed under: Hevea brasiliensis (rubber tree)
Lineage: Eukaryota; Viridiplantae; Streptophyta; Magnoliopsida; Malpighiales; Euphorbiaceae
Source: RNAcentral